Molecule: unclassified non-coding RNA, 613 nt
Filed under: Hevea brasiliensis (rubber tree)
Lineage: Eukaryota; Viridiplantae; Streptophyta; Magnoliopsida; Malpighiales; Euphorbiaceae
Source: RNAcentral
AAAAAAUGUAGAUAUAUCAUGAAUAACUUGUUAGAGGUUGGUUGCAGAGAAAGUGUAGUCUCCAUUGUAUGUUUUAGGCAAAUAGGAUUGAGAAGGGUGGUGUUUGCCAUAGUUGUGAGAUCUCAUCCUCCUAUACUAAUAGUGCAUGGAAGCUAGGACUUUGUUUUGCCAUUUUUUUACUCCCAUCACACGUAGUGCUAAUCCUUUCUUGUUCUAUCUAUAAUAGUUGUCCUUGUAAAUGAUUAAUAUUUAAAAAUUUCCCCCAUGUCACAGAGGUUUUUUUGCUAUUUUCACUAAUAUAAAUUGGAAUAGGAGUGUUGGAAGUCCUGGCAAAUUCUGGGCUGGAGAACAAACAUUAUGGGUAGAGGGGGUAUCUAUUUACCUUUCUACUAGUCAGAGUUGCAUAUUCUGUGCAUCUUAUUGCUACGUGUUUGCAAACCAUUUCUGAAUACAUUAAAGCAAAUAAUGUGUGGUGCUGUUUGGAAUUGUUUCCAAUUUAAUACAGUUUGGAAUCAGGAAAGACAUUUUACUGAAAUUUUUUGUAUUCUGAAUCAGAUAUAAGGUUUUAUAAGCACCAUUUCUGUCUGUGUUCUAAUAUAUAAGACCUAAAAUG